Molecule: unclassified non-coding RNA, 233 nt
Filed under: soil metagenome
Also listed under: 1 other name
Description: partial contains small subunit ribosomal RNA, internal transcribed spacer 1, and 5.8S ribosomal RNA
Source: RNAcentral
UCUCCGUUGGUGAACCAGCGGAGGGAUCAUUACCGAAGUUACCUUCAAAACCCACUGUGAACCUUACCUCUUGCCGCGUUGUCUCGGCGGGAGGCGGGGUGCGUCAAGGCCCUCGGGCCGCGCCGCUCCCCGUCCCCGCCGGCGGCGCCAAACUCUAAAUGCACAGCGGACUGUACGUUCUGAUUUACAAAAAAAACAAGUUAAAACUUUCAACAACGGAUCUCUUGGUUCUG